CAGGGAGACAUAAACUGAUCUUGAUGUCUUAUGUUUUUUAUACUUAGGCCAAGAUCCUGUCACCUUAAGGUCGAUCGGUACCUCAGGUUAAAAGCUCAAUUAGAAUUGAGAAUUCAAUUUUAGAUUGGUAAUUAACAUCAGUUCCUAAACUUGUCUAGGUCACACCCAGCAAGGGUAAUCCUGGGCCAUUAGCUCAGGUGGUUAGAGCGCACCCCUGAUAAGGGUGAGGUCCCUGGUUCAAGUCCAGGAUGGCCCAUUCGGUGUUGGGGGUUUAGCUCAGUUGGUAGAGCGCCUGCUUUGCAAGCAGGAUGUCAGGAGUUCGAGUCUCCUAACCUCCACUGACCGAACUUGAUUCCCAUCUCCAGAUUUUUGGAGUUGAGCUCGAUUGGAGUGUGAUUUAGAUGUGUCCGCUGGAUGACCCCAGCUUCCUGUCAUUCCAAGUUUUAGGUUGAAGCCUUGAAUUUGGUUGAUAAGAUGCUGGGCUCGGAUCAAAUGAUCAAGCAAUUGAUGAUUUGAUUUGAAGUUCUAGCAGAACCUUGACAACUGCAUAGGUGAGUCUGGAAAAAACAAAGCAUCUUACAGAUGCAUUGUUUUGAAUCUGAUCUUUCGAAAGAGAGAUUGGAUCUAGAACAAUGAAAAUUCUUUUGAGCAAGAGCCGAGACUCUUAAAUGUUCUUUGAUUCGUGUCGAGCGAAUCAGAGUUUGAUCUUGUUUUUAGUAAUAAAAACUUGAGAAUCUGCUUUCAACGGCGGUAAGCGUUCAGGAGGUUAAUU
Molecule: transfer RNA, 772 nt
Filed under: uncultured cyanobacterium
Lineage: Bacteria; Bacillati; Cyanobacteriota
Description: partial 16S-23S ribosomal RNA intergenic spacer
Rfam family: tRNA (bases 266-338)
Source: RNAcentral